RNAcentral lists this ribosomal RNA (465 nucleotides) under uncultured bacterium. RNAcentral's name for it is "partial 16S ribosomal RNA". It matches the Rfam family "Bacterial small subunit ribosomal RNA", at positions 338 to 795 of the family's 1533-position model. The record is from RNAcentral.
CCUACGGGAGGCUGCAGUGAGGAAUAUUGGUCAAUGGGCGUAAGCCUGAACCAGCCAAGUCGCGUGAAUGACGAAGGCCUUCGGGUCGUAAAGUUCUUUCGAUAGGGAAGAAAAUGCCUAUAAGUAACUGUGUAUGUAUUGACGGUAUCUGUAUAAGAAGCCUCGGCUAACUCCGUGCCAGCAGCCGCGGUAAUACGGAGGGGGCGAGCGUUGUUCGGAGUGACUGGGCGUAAAGAGCACGUAGGCGGUGUUGUAAGUCAUUAGUCAAAGACUAGAGAUCAAAUUUAGUAAGGCUAGUGAUACUAUAAUACUAGAGUAUCAGAGAGGAUUGCAGAAUUCCUGGUGUAGCGGUGAAAUGCGUAGAUAUCAGGAGGAAUACCGUUAGCGAAGGCGGCAAUCUGGCUGGAAACUGACGCUGAGGUGCGAAAGCGUGGGUAGCAAACAGGAUUAGAUACCCUGGUAGUC